AGUGAACGCUGGCGGCAGGCCUAACACAUGCAAGUCCAGCGGAUGAAGAGUGCUUGCUCCUGGAUUCAGCUGCGGACGGGUGAGUAAUUCCUAGGAAUCUGCCUGGUAGUUGGGGAUAACGUCCGGAAACGGGCGCUAAUACCGCAUACGUCCUUAGGGAGAAAGUGGGGGAUCUUCGGACCUCACGCUCUCAGAUGAGCCUAGGACGGAUUAGCUAGUUGGUGGGGUAAAGGCCUACCAAGGCGACGAUCCGUAACUGGUCUGAGAGGAUGAUCAGUCACACUGGAACUGAGACACGGUCCAGACUCCUACGGGAGGCAGCAGUGGGGAAUAUUGGACAAUGGGCGAAAGCCUGAUCCAGCCAUGCCGCGUGUGUGAAGAAGGUCUUCGGAUUGUAAAGCACUUUAAGUUGGGAGGAAGGGCAGUAGGUUAAUACCUUGCUGUUUUGACGGUACCAACAGAAUAAGCACCGGCUAACUUCGUG
Molecule: ribosomal RNA, 484 nt
Filed under: uncultured bacterium
Lineage: Bacteria
Description: partial 16S ribosomal RNA
Rfam family: Bacterial small subunit ribosomal RNA
Source: RNAcentral